CCAGACUCCUACGGGAGGCAGCAGUGGGGAAUAUUGGGCAAUGGGCGCAAGCCUGACCCAGCAACGCCGCGUGAAGGAAGAAGGCUUUCGGGUUGUAAACUUCUUUUCUGGGGGACGAAGAAAGUGACGGUACCCCAGGAAUAAGCCACGGCUAACUACGUGCCAGCAGCCGCGGUAAUACGUAGGUGGCAAGCGUUAUCCGGAUUUAUUGGGUGUAAAGGGCGUGUAGGCGGGAAUGCAAGUCAGAUGUGAAAACUAUGGGCUCAACCCAUAGCCUGCAUUUGAAACUGUAUUUCUUGAGUGCUGGAGAGGCAAUCGGAAUUCCGUGUGUAGCGGUGAAAUGCGUAGAUAUACGGAGGAACACCGGCGGCGAAGGCGGCCUGCUGGACCGUAACUGACGUUGAGGCUCGAAAGCGUGGGGAGCAAACAGGAUUAGAUACCCUAGUA
This 447-nucleotide ribosomal RNA is filed under the name uncultured bacterium. Its description in RNAcentral is "bacterial SSU rRNA". It matches the Rfam family "Bacterial small subunit ribosomal RNA", at positions 331 to 792 of the family's 1533-position model. The record is from RNAcentral.